AGUUGCAAACAGGUCAAGCUGUGCACUCUAGACAGACUGCCGUGGACAACACGGAGGAAGGUGGGGAUGACGUCAAAUCAUCAUGCCCCUUAUGAUCUGGGCUACACACGUGCUACAAUGGGCCGGUACAACGGGCAGCGAAGGAGCGAUCCGGAAGCGAAUCCUAAAAAGCCGGUCCCAGUUCGGAUUGCAGGCUGAAACUCGCCUACAUGAAGUUGGAGUUGCUAGUAAUCGCGAAUCAGAGUGUCGCGGUGAAUGCGUUCCCGGGUCUU
This 272-nucleotide ribosomal RNA is filed under the name uncultured Fusibacter sp. Its description in RNAcentral is "partial 16S ribosomal RNA". It matches the Rfam family "Bacterial small subunit ribosomal RNA", at positions 1113 to 1382 of the family's 1533-position model. The record is from RNAcentral. Lineage: Bacteria; Bacillati; Bacillota; Clostridia; Eubacteriales; Fusibacteraceae.